This 1803-nucleotide unclassified non-coding RNA is filed under the name Hevea brasiliensis (rubber tree). Lineage: Eukaryota; Viridiplantae; Streptophyta; Magnoliopsida; Malpighiales; Euphorbiaceae. The record is from RNAcentral.
AAAACAGCUGAGCAAUUGACCAGGUAAUGCAUGCAGUUUGUAAGGUUCUGGAAAAGGGAUCACCUUCAAAUUUUCAAGAUUGUAAACUGGAGUGAGAUGGAGUUGGAGAAGGGGACCUCUCUUUCCUCUUACCAGCCAAACCAGAACAUUUAUUUAAGCUGCCGCCAUUCUGACUUGUAAAACUAUCUGAAUGGCAACAGGCUGCAAUUUGAUCAGGUUCACUAACUUCAGAAGCUUCUACUACACUUGCAAGUUGUUUAUUGUCAGAUUCACAUGAAGCCUGUCUGGUGAUGCAGAGCCAAGUCCUUGAAGACUCCUCAACUACCUCACCUGCCAGAGGCACAUGCCACGACCCGUUCUCGGAUUCCUGAAUGACAACAGAAUAUGUGGGUGGCAUCAGAAGCUUAAUCUCCCCUUUAACAAAAGUGUACUUCACCUGAUGUCUUUCUUUCCAUCGGGCAAAAAAGCUACUACCCAGGAGCUCAAAGAUGUGAUCUCUCAUUUCAUCAUUUGUCACGAGCAAACACUUACAUUUCACUGCUGCAUAAAGCCAGUACCAGUCAUCAUUGGAUCCAAAGGGUGUUCCGUAAAGUAUCUUUUCAUUUAUCCACUCUUCAAGCAACUCUCUAUAGCCAGCAUCCUCAAGAAGUGUACGAACACGCUUUUUGUGUAAUAUGACCAGUGGCCACUUGUUGCUCCUGCUAUGCAAUUCCUUCACAACAGCAACAAACUGUGCAAUACUAAAGCCUCCCGCAGCAAAAUUCUGCUGAAAAAGCCCAACAUUUGCUGCAUCUACUACAGCAUCAUAAUCUGAAUGCUUUUCCAGCCAGUCCUGAAAUUCCUUAAAAUUGGAAUGGACUUCCCUUUCCAUUGCCAAAGAAGCAACUGACUCUGCAAAUCGUUCCGUUUCUGAUCUGUCAAUAUCAACACAAACCAACUGUUCGCCACAAGAUAGACACCUCCCAUCAGGAGCUAUUUGGGACCUCUGUGCAAGCCAUUUACCCUUUCCAAGCCAUCCGAGACCAUGCCACCCUCCACCAUUUUGUAAAAUUACUUCUUUCACCUGAUCCAUAUCCCCGUUGGAUAACCCCACCUUAGUUGCCAUUUCCCCUCCAAACCAACUCUGUAUUAUUUCUGCUGUCGAGUCACUUACGCUCCUGAUUGACAUUCUCAGUUUAUGUAAAUACUGAUAGACCUUCUCUUCCCUUUCUUUCUCCACACUCACCUUUAACAACCCAGCAAGCUCAGCUUCCUCAAGUUGCAAACCAAGAGACCGCAUGUGUUCUUCCACUUGAUAGGCCUUAUCAGCCUCACCCAUCUUACAAAAACAAAACAAAGCCGGUCCAUAAGUCCUUAACUUUCCACAAUUCCCCACCCCUUUAGCCAACUCAAAUGCUCUGUCACCGUCAUCAGUUGCUGCCGCCAGCCGAGCAACAGCCGUGACAGUUGCCUCAUUAGGGGUUAUGUUACACGAAUCCAUAUGUUCAAAAACUCGAAACCCAAAUUGAAUAGCGUCAUUUUUCGUUGAUGGGUCUGAAAAAGAGUUGGAGCAGAUGUAAAGAAAAGAAUUGAAAUGGUUACUGGAAAGGCGGAUUGUUGAGGCAUCUGAAAUAGCGGAUUCGUAUAAGGAGAUGGCAGUAGAAAGAUCUUUGGUUUUGGAGCAAUUAUCUAGGCUUGACCGGAAUUGACCUUCUGGGGUUAGGUUUUUCUUCUUGUUUUUGGCUUUGUCCAUUUUCCGGUAGUAAUGGCGGCUGCGGCUGCAGCUGCGGCGGCGGAGAAAUAGUAGCUACACCUGGGUUUGGG